GUAAAAGUCGUAACAAGGUCUCCGUUGGUGAACCAGCGGAGGGAUCAUUACUGAGUUUACGCUCUACAACCCUUUGUGAACAUACCUACAACUGUUGCUUCGGCGGGUAGGGUCUCCGCGACCCUCCCGGCCUCCCGCCUCCGGGCGGGUCGGCGCCCGCCGGAGGAUAACCAAACUCUGAUUUAACGACGUUUCUUCUGAGUGGUACAAGCAAAUAAUCAAAACUUUUAACAACGGAUCUCUUGGUUCUGGCAUCGAUGAAGAACGCAGCGAAAUGCGAUAAGUAAUGUGAAUUGCAGAAUUCAGUGAAUCAUCGAAUCUUUGAACGCACAUUGCGCCCGCCAGCAUUCUGGCGGGCAUGCCUGUUCGAGCGUCAUUUCAACCCUCAAGCUCUGCUUGGUGUUGGGGCCCUACAGCCGAUGUAGGCCCUCAAAGGUAGUGGCGGACCCUCCCGGAGCCUCCUUUGCGUAGUAACUUUACGUCUCGCACUGGGAUCCGGAGGGACUCUUGCCGUAAAACCCCCCAAUUUUCCAAAGGUUGACCUCGGAUCAGGUAGGAAUACCCGCUGAACUUAAGCA
This 578-nucleotide ribosomal RNA is filed under the name Colletotrichum gloeosporioides. RNAcentral describes it as "eukaryotic LSU rRNA". The stretch from base 223 to 376 matches the Rfam family "5.8S ribosomal RNA". The record is from RNAcentral. Lineage: Eukaryota; Fungi; Ascomycota; Sordariomycetes; Glomerellales; Glomerellaceae.